Molecule: long non-coding RNA, 2236 nt
Filed under: Phocoena sinus (vaquita)
Lineage: Eukaryota; Metazoa; Chordata; Mammalia; Artiodactyla; Phocoenidae
Description: lncRNA (ENSPSNG00000020535.1)
Source: RNAcentral
GUACAAAAAUAAUGCAGAAGAUUAUUAAUAAUCUCAAACAUAUUUAGCCUCUCUGUAAUAAGAGGUCUAAAGUAAGUCAAUAUAGAUUUCUUUAGCAAUAAAUGUUUCAGUAUUUUAUCUUAUUAAAAGUGAUCUAAGGCUUACCUGGUGGCACAGUGGUUGAGAGUCCGCCUGCCGAUGCAGGGGACACGGGUUCGUGCCCCGGUCCGGAAGAUCCCACAUGCCACGGAACGGCUGGACCCAUGAGCCAUGGCCGCUGAGCCUGCGCGUCCGGAGGCUGUGCUCCAUAACGGGAGCGGCCACAACAGUGAGAGGCCCGCGUACUGCAAAAAAAAAAAAAAAAAAAAAAAAAGUGAUCUAGACAGUCAAUGAAUUGCCAUCAUUUAACUUAAUGUAGCAGAACUGUGAGGUUUCAAGUUAACAAAAAUCUGGAGAAAUUGUUUUCAGGUAGACACAUCAUAAAACGUAAUCAUUCUUAAAGAGUUCACCCAAAUACUUUGAUCCCAUUUAUCUCUAUUUCAUUACUUAUGAAAAUAUCAUACCAAGUUAAUUAUCUUGUUGACAAAUUUUAUAACAGAGGUAACAUGAGCUUAUUGGCAUUUAGUAAACCUAGGUACAAUAAAAGUAUUAUAUUUAAUGUUGAUGACUUUAAAGAUGUGUCUAUAUUAAUUAAACCAUUAACUAAAACUUGUUUUCACUUAUUAAAGAUUAAUCUCAGAUCAUAUGAACAUUUAAAAAUUUGGGAUAGCUUGAGUUACAUUCAGAAGUAUUUGAUUUCUAAGUACUUACUUUUAAGUCAAUUAAAUACAGCUCUUUUACAAAUUAUUUUUGGUAAUAUCAUCUGGAGGUAGGGACAUAUCAUAUUUAUAAUGUACACACAGACAUACAUAUAUCCAAAUAGACACAGAGGUCUCAUAGUUUUCCUGCUCGAGUUUUAAAAGGCCUCUUUUCCCUUUUUUUUUCUUUUUUCAGUUUUAGUUUCUACUAGUUGAGCUAAGACUGUAGUCUCAGGAAAUGUAGGAUGUGUUUACAUUUCAAGGACAUGAUAAGAGUUACAACUUCAAACUUUCUCCCAAAAUUACUUUUGUUCUCUCAGGGUCAGAAUUUUGAAAAGAUGUUUUAUUAAGCCCACUUUCUCUAAUUAGGCAUGCAAGAAUCAGUUUUGGAAUGUCAAAAAGUUCCACCCUGGCCAUGUUAAGAGUUAAGAUACACAGACUGAGAAGAUAUGAGAAAUGUUUAAUAAACAGCUAUAAGAUCUAAAGAACAGAGAUGAACAAUACAAUAACUGAAAUGAAAACUACACUAUAAGGAAUCAACAGUAGAAUAAAGAGGCAGAAGUAUGGAUAAGUGAUCUGGAAGACAGAAUGGUGGAAAUCACUGCUGUGGAACAGGAUGAAGAAAAAAGAAUGAAAAGAAAUGAGGACAGUCUAAGAGACUUCUGGGAAAACAUUAAACGCACCAACAUUCUCAUUAUAGGGGUCCAGAAGGAGAAGAGAGAGAGAAAGUACCUGAGAAAAUAUCUGAAGAGAUAAUAGCUGAAAAUGUCCCUAACAUGGGAAACAGUCACCGAAGUCCAGGAAGCACAGAGUACCAGGCAGGAUAAACCCAAGGAGGAACAUGCUGAGACACAUAUUAAUCAAAUUGACAAAAAUUAAAGACAAGGGCUUCCUUGGUGGUGCAGUGGUUAAGAACCCACCUGCCAAUGUAGGGGACACGGGUUUGAGCCCUGGUCUGGGAAGAUCCCACAUGCUGCAGAACAAAUAAGCCCACGCACCACAACUACUGAGCCUGUGCUCUAGAGCCCAUGAACCACAACUACUGAGCCCACGUGCCACAACUACUGAAGCCUGUGUGCCUAGAACCCAUGCUCCACAACAAGAGAAGCCACCGCAAUGAGAAGUCCAUGCACUGCAACAAAGAGUAGCCCCCGCUUGCUGCAACUAGAGAAAGCCCACGCACAGCAAUGAAGCCCCAACACAGCCAAAAAUAAAUAAAUGAAUUUAUUUUUAAAAAUUAAAGACAGAGAAAAUAUUAAAAAGCAACAAGGGAAAAGCAACAAAUAACAUGCAAGGAAAUUCCCAUAAAAUUAUCAGCUGAUUUUUCAGCAGAAACUCUGCAGGCUGGAAGGCAGUUGCACAAUAUAUUUAGAAGUGAUGAAAGGGAAGAACUUACAGCCAAGAACACUUUACCCAGCAAGGCUCUCAUUCAGAUUCAACAGAGAAAUCAAAAACUUUAC